GUUAGGAAUAUUGGGCAAUGGGGGAAACCCUGACCCAGCAACGCCGCGUGAGGGAAGAAGGUUUUCGGAUUAUAAACCUCUGUCCUUGGUGAAGAAGAAAGUGACGGUAGCCAAGGAGGAAGCCCCGGCUAACUACGUGCCAGCAGCCGCGGUAAUACGUAGGGGGCGAGCGUUGUCCGGAAUGACUGGGCGUAAAGGGCGUGUAGGCGGCCGAUUAAGUCCGGAGUGAAAGUCCUGCUUUCAAGGUGGGAAUUGCUUUGGAAACUGGUUGGCUUGAGUGCGGAAGAGGUAAGUGGAAUUCCCAGUGUAGCGGUGAAAUGCGUAGAGAUUGGGAGGAACACCAGUGGCGAAGGCGACUUACUGGGCCGUAACUGACGCUGAGGCGCGAAAGCGUGGGGAGCGAACAGGAUUAGAAACCCCUGUAGUCC
RNAcentral lists this ribosomal RNA (428 nucleotides) under uncultured bacterium. RNAcentral's name for it is "partial 16S ribosomal RNA". It matches the Rfam family "Bacterial small subunit ribosomal RNA", at positions 354 to 796 of the family's 1533-position model. The record is from RNAcentral.